This is a long non-coding RNA of Galeopterus variegatus (Sunda flying lemur), 525 nucleotides long. RefSeq lists it as uncharacterized. The record is from RefSeq and is a predicted model, not a curated record. The transcript is spliced from 2 exons. Lineage: Eukaryota; Metazoa; Chordata; Mammalia; Dermoptera; Cynocephalidae.
UGCGGAGCCAGGCUAGCAGAACUACAGAAUGGGCUGAGGUGGCGGCGGUUGCCCGGACGAAGUCGACAGCAGGGCGAGAGGCGCGACGCCGAAGCCAGGAUUGAAAAUGGAGAUGUAUGAAACCCUUGGAAAAGUGGGAGAGGGAAGUUACGGAACUGUCAUGAAAUGUAAACAUAAGAAUACUGGGCAGAUAGUGGCUAUUAAGAUAUUUUUUGAGAAACCAGAAAAAUCUGUCAACAAAAUUGCAACGAGAGAAAUAAAGUUUCUAAAGGUUUGCUUCUUUUGCCUUAAUUGCUCUGUAAGUCAAAAGAAAAAUUGUUAUGGAAUAAAAAUUGUGUAGAAGAGUAUUUCAGGUAACACACGUAUUAAGACAUGUAAUAGAAAAACAAGUGUGAUACUUUACCUUAUUGUAUACAUUUUGUAAUUUUAUAGUGAUACCAGAUGUAUGUGCUUGUGUAUAGUGUACCAAAAGCUAUGCCAAUAUUGUGAAAUAAAUAUUAAGAAAUAUUCAGGUAUAGUACUUAA